Small nucleolar RNA from Rattus rattus (black rat), 144 nucleotides. RefSeq annotates it as small nucleolar RNA SNORA48. The record is from RefSeq and is a predicted model, not a curated record. Lineage: Eukaryota; Metazoa; Chordata; Mammalia; Rodentia; Muridae. The transcript has a single exon.
CGCCUCGGCAGUGGGCAAAGAGACACCUUGUUGGUGCCGAUGCUCGUAUAUCAGUCAGGGACAGAGCAGAUGGCAGUCCUUUAUCAAUCCUAGCUUGAUGCCUGACUUUGUGGCCCCAAGCUGUUUUAUGCCUAGGAUACAUAA